GAGGGUAUAGCUCAGUGGUAGAAGUCAUGCUUAGCAUGCUUGAAGUCCUGGGUUCAAUCCCCAGUGCUUCCA
RNAcentral lists this transfer RNA (72 nucleotides) under Camelus bactrianus (Bactrian camel). It matches the Rfam family "tRNA". From Rfam's summary of the family: Transfer RNA (tRNA) molecules are approximately 80 nucleotides in length. Their secondary structure includes four short double-helical elements and three loops (D, anti-codon, and T loops). Further hydrogen bonds mediate the characteristic L-shaped molecular structure. tRNAs have two regions of fundamental functional importance: the anti-codon, which is responsible for specific mRNA codon recognition, and the 3' end, to which the tRNAs corresponding amino acid is attached (by aminoacyl-tRNA synthetases). tRNAs cope with the degeneracy of the genetic code in two manners: having more than one tRNA (with a specific anti-codon) for a particular amino acid; and 'wobble' base-pairing, i.e. permitting non-standard base-pairing at the 3rd anti-codon position. Lineage: Eukaryota; Metazoa; Chordata; Mammalia; Artiodactyla; Camelidae. The record is from Rfam by way of RNAcentral. RNAcentral also lists the same sequence under 2 other names.